UACGGAGGGAGCUAGCGUUGUUCGGAAUUACUGGGCGUAAAGCGCACGUAGGCGGCUACUCAAGUCGGGGGUGAAAGCCCGGGGCUCAACCCCGGAACUGCCCUCGAAACUAGGUAGCUAGAAUCUUGGAGAGGCGAGUGGAAUUCCGAGUGUAGAGGUGAAAUUCGUAGAUAUUCGGAAGAACACCAGUGGCGAAGGCGACUCGCUGGACAAGUAUUGACGCUGAGGUGCGAAAGCGUGGGGAGCAAACAGG
RNAcentral lists this ribosomal RNA (253 nucleotides) under uncultured bacterium. RNAcentral's name for it is "partial 16S ribosomal RNA". It matches the Rfam family "Bacterial small subunit ribosomal RNA", at positions 524 to 776 of the family's 1533-position model. RNAcentral also lists the same sequence under 1 other name. The record is from RNAcentral.